GGACACUAAUCUUGUGAAGAGAAUAGGUGCAACCACUAUUGCUGAAGUCAGAGCUAUCGGAAUUUCAUAUGCAUUUGCUCCUUGUAUUGAUGUAAGUAUAAUAAAAUAUGUAAGUAUGUGUCUAUAAAGAACUGUUUUUAUAGGUAUGCAGAGAUCUAAUAUGCGGGCGUGCUAUGAGAGUUACAGUGAGGAUAAUGAACUUGUUCAAAGUAUGAAUAAGAUUGUAUUAGGAUUGCAAGGGCAUUCUGUAUCAAUACAGUGAUGACUUGCAAUAUAUACCUGGUGUGACCAGUUUUGCAUGUUUCUCCGGUUUUCAUGGUUGGUAACGGUUCCUCCACCAUGUGAGUUUCAGGCUUGGACCCAUGAAGCCCGAACCAAAACCACCAAAGGCAUCAGUUGCUCAAAAACGUCGAAGGUCGUUUAAGGUAGAGACGGUGAAACCGAAAGAGCUCGAGGAUACUGUUUCUAAAGAAAAGAUGGAAACCGAAAAGACGAUCGCUAAAAUGUUUGAUGUUCUAAAAAUCAACAAAAAAGUUCGUCUUGAGAACCUGCUUGGUGAAAGAUGGCCGGGUUGUGAUAACGGUGGAUGAUAAUGGCUGUCAUCAUGUUUGUAUGUCACAUUUCUUAACUAUGUUCACCACGGAAUGCUCCUGCUGCUUCCAUGAUUACAUCUAGGAAGGUGGUAUACUCACAAUUCAUCUUUAGGUUUGACUUCAGUGACUGGAAGGUACAUGGCUUGAAAUUCCAUCGCUUGAAGAACCUUUACUGUGAUCGAGGUUACGGAAACUGAGAGAUAUUUACACGUGGCAAGGAAGAGAAAGAAGACGAUCUUGGCUGUAGUUAUCAUGCACUUUGGAUAAUUUAGGGGGCAAGAAACAAGAAGGUGUUUGAAAAUCGACCAAUUUCGGUUACGAAGGCAACAGAAGAAAUUCAGGAAACCAACUUCCUUUGGCUUAAACAUCGGGCGAGAUGGAAGACAAUGACUUUUGAUGAGUGGUUAAAAUUUGAUGUAAACCUUUUCUACUCAGUUUUCGUUAUAUUGGUGUAAGCAUGGCCUCCGCUAGCACUUAUUUGGUUCGAGUUUUUUUUGCUUGGUUUUGGUGUUUUAUCGGAUGGCUUUGUUUGUUAAAAAAACUAACUUUCGAGAUCAAACUAAUCAUGUUUUUGCUAGA
Molecule: long non-coding RNA, 1172 nt
Organism: Helianthus annuus (common sunflower)
Lineage: Eukaryota; Viridiplantae; Streptophyta; Magnoliopsida; Asterales; Asteraceae
Exons: 6
Source: RefSeq, a predicted model, not a curated record